UACAGGGGGUGCAAACGUUGCUCGGAAUCAUUGGGCGUAAAGCGCACGUAGGCGGUUUGUUAUGUCGGAUGUGAAAGCCCUUGGCUCAACUAAGGAAGUGCAUCCGAAACUGGCAAGCUGGAGUACUAAAGAGGGUCGCGGAAUUCCCGGUGUAGAGGUGAAAUUCGUAGAUAUCGGGAGGAACACCGGUGGCGAAGGCGGCGACCUGGGUAGAUACUGACGCUGAGGUGCGAAAGCGUGGGGAGCAAACAGG
Molecule: ribosomal RNA, 253 nt
Filed under: uncultured bacterium
Lineage: Bacteria
Description: partial 16S ribosomal RNA
Rfam family: Bacterial small subunit ribosomal RNA
Source: RNAcentral